CAGCCGCCGCGGGAAUACGGAGGGUGCAAGCGUUAAUCGGAAUUACUGGGCGUAAAGCGCACGCAGGCGGUCUGUCAAGUCAGAUGUGAAAUCCCCGGGCUUAACCUGGGAACUGCAUUUGAAACUGGCAGGCUAGAGUCUUGUAGAGGGGGGUAGAAUUCCAGGUGUAGCGGUGAAAUGCGUAGAGAUCUGGAGGAAUACCGGUGGCGAAGGCGGCCCCCUGGACAAAGACUGACGCUCAGGUGCGAAAGCGUGGGGAGCAAACAGGAUUAGAUACCCGAGUAGUCCCUGUCUCUUAUAC
RNAcentral lists this ribosomal RNA (301 nucleotides) under uncultured bacterium. Its description in RNAcentral is "partial 16S ribosomal RNA". It matches the Rfam family "Bacterial small subunit ribosomal RNA", at positions 509 to 807 of the family's 1533-position model. The record is from RNAcentral.